AGCACAGACCCCAGACCAGAUCCUCACUCCACACAAGUCCCUGGCAGCGUUCCCCACCCAAGCCCUGUCUGCAUCCUGUCCUUCCUCCCAGAAAUUCAAAGUCAUCCAUAGGAUCCAGCUGCUCCAGCAGGCUGCAAAUUCAUAUGACCUGGAGCCCGAUGAGCGAUUUGGGGCCUGGUUCCAGGCCAUGGAGCCCAUCAGUGUCCAUGAGAGCUACUGGGUCUCCUGCCGGCUGGAGCCCGCACACCAGAAGGCGAGCAAAAUGCGGCUCUUCAGGAGAAAGAGGAACCGGACAUCCUCCAGUUUAGGGCCGACCACCGUGCCCUUGGCGAUGAGCCAUAACCCUCUGGAGACCACAAGUUCAGCUCCUCCUGAGCAGCAGGGCCACUGGGACCCUCGGG
Diceros bicornis minor is the source of this 401-nucleotide long non-coding RNA. RefSeq lists it as uncharacterized. The record is from RefSeq and is a predicted model, not a curated record. The transcript has 3 exons. Lineage: Eukaryota; Metazoa; Chordata; Mammalia; Perissodactyla; Rhinocerotidae.